This 723-nucleotide ribosomal RNA is filed under the name uncultured Fusobacterium sp. RNAcentral describes it as "bacterial SSU rRNA". It matches the Rfam family "Bacterial small subunit ribosomal RNA", at positions 28 to 776 of the family's 1533-position model. Lineage: Bacteria; Fusobacteriati; Fusobacteriota; Fusobacteriia; Fusobacteriales; Fusobacteriaceae. The record is from RNAcentral.
GAUGAACGCUGACAGAAUGCUUAACACAUGCAAGUCAACUUGAACUUCGGUUUGGGUGGCGGACGGGUGAGUAACGCGUAAAGAACUUGCCUCACAGAUAGGGACAACAUUUGGAAACGAAUGCUAAUACCUGAUAUUAUGAUUUUAGGGCAUCCUAGAAUUAUGAAAGCUAUAUGCGCUGUGAGAGAGCUUUGCGUCCCAUUAGCUAGUUGGAGAGGUAACGGCUCACCAAGGCGAUGAUGGGUAGCCGGCCUGAGAGGGUGAUCGGCCACAAGGGGACUGAGACACGGCCCUUACUCCUACGGGAGGCAGCAGUGGGGAAUAUUGGACAAUGGACCAAGAGUCUGAUCCAGCAACUCUGUGUGCACGAUGAAGUUUUUCGGAAUGUAAAGUGCUUUCAGUUGGGAAGAAAAAAAUGACGGUACCAACAGAAGAAGUGACGGCUAAAUACGUGCCAGCAGCCGCGGUAAUACGUACGUCACAAGCGUUAUCCGGAUUUAUUGGGCGUAAAGCGCGUCUAGGUGGUUAUAUAAGUCUGAUGUGAAAAUGCAGGGCUCAACUCUGUAUUGCGUUGGAAACUGUGUAACUAGAGUACUGGAGAGGUAAGCGGAACUACAAGUGUAGAGGUGAAAUUCGUAGAUAUUUGUAGGAAUGCCGAUGGGGAAGCCAGCUUACUGGACCGGAUACUGACGCUGAAGCGCGAAAGCGUGGGUAGCAAACAGG